UACGGAGGGUGCAAGCAUUAAUCGGAUUUAUUGGGCGUAAAGGGCGCGUAGGCGGGAAAGAAAGUUAGAUGUGAAAGCCUGAGGCUUAACUUCAGAACAGCAUCUAAAACUUCUUUUCUAGAGGAUGAGCGGGGAAAAGGGAAUUCCACAUGUAGCGGUGAAAUGCGUAGAUAUGUGGAGGAACACCGGUGGCGAAGGCAGGUCUCUGGGCUGACACUGACGCUCAUGCACGAAAGCGUGGGGAGCAAACAGG
RNAcentral lists this ribosomal RNA (253 nucleotides) under uncultured bacterium. RNAcentral describes it as "partial 16S ribosomal RNA". It matches the Rfam family "Bacterial small subunit ribosomal RNA", at positions 524 to 776 of the family's 1533-position model. The record is from RNAcentral.